ACAGGAGCUGGGAGUCAUCCAGAAUCCCGUCAUACACCGUUGCAGCCUAAAUAAACCCUCCUAUGGCGAGGGAGCCAGUCACAGAAGCUGGGAGUGGAUGCAAGAUUUGUCCACGUCGGCACUACCGCAACAUGGAUCCCUCAGCACUGGAGCCCUCUCUCUACACUGUCAAAGCAAUCAUCAUCCUGGACAAUGAUGGAGAGCGUCUGCAUGCCAAGUAUUAUGAUGAUGCCUAUCCUUCCACAAAGGAACAGAGGAAUUUUGAAAAGAAUAUUUUCAGCAAGACACAUAAAAAUGACAGUGAAAUUGCAUUCCUGGAGGGAUUGACGAUCAUCUAUAAAAGUUCUGUCGAUUUGUACUUCUACAUCGUAGGGAAUUCACAGGAAAAUGAGCUCAUGUUAAUGGCUGUUCUCAAUUGCCUGUUCGAUUCUUUGAGCCAAAUGCUGCGGAAAAAUGUGGAAAAGAAAUCUCUAAUGGAGAAUAUGGAUGGUGUUCUGCUUAUCAUGGAUGAGAUUGUGGAUGGAGGGGUCAUUCUGGAGAGUGAUCCCCAGCAGGUCAUUCAGAAAGUGAAUUUUCGGGCAGACUCUGAAUCAGCCUAUGGCUUUGUUCUCUUUGACUAUCUGACGAACAGUGGGAACAGUGAAGACCAAUGUCAUCGGCCUCUGAAUUAACAGCGGGUAGCUCAGGUUGAUGAUACUCCUUUAACAGAGCAGAGUAUGGCACAGGUCCUUCAGUCAGCAAAGGAUCAGAUCAAAUGGUCGCUGUUAAAAUAAAGCAAGAAUCUUGCCCUU
Carcharodon carcharias (great white shark) is the source of this 791-nucleotide RNA transcript. It is a transcript of the gene named coatomer subunit zeta-1-like, with no coding region annotated. NCBI's taxonomy places the organism in Eukaryota, Metazoa, Chordata, Chondrichthyes, Lamniformes, Lamnidae. The transcript is spliced from 10 exons. The record is from RefSeq and is a predicted model, not a curated record.